This 253-nucleotide ribosomal RNA is filed under the name uncultured bacterium. RNAcentral's name for it is "partial 16S ribosomal RNA". It matches the Rfam family "Bacterial small subunit ribosomal RNA", at positions 524 to 776 of the family's 1533-position model. The record is from RNAcentral.
UACGUAGGGUGCAAGCGUUGUCCGGAAUUAUUGGGCGUAAAGAGCUCGUAGGCGGUCUGUCGCGUCGGAUGUGAAAACCCAGGGCUCAACCCUGGGCCUGCAUUCGAUACGGGCAGACUAGAGUUCGGUAGGGGAGACUGGAAUUCCUGGUGCAGCGGUGAAAUGCGCAGAUAUCGGGAGGAACACCGGUGGCGAAGGCGGCGAUCUGGGUCGAUACUGACGCUGAGGAGCGAAAGCAUGGGGAGCGAACAGG